CCUACGGUCGGCUGCAGUAGGGAAUAUUGCGCAAUGGGCGAAACCCUGACCCAGCAACGCCGCGUGGAGGAAGAAGGCUUUCGGGUUGUAAACUUCUUUUGACAGGGAAGAGUAGAAGACGGUCUCUGUCGUAUACGCCACGUCUAACUCCGUGCCAGCAGCCGCGGUAAUACGGAGGUUGCAAGCGUUGUCCGGAUUUACUGGGUGUAAAGGGCGUGUAGGCGGGUUGACAAGUCAGAUGUGAAAUCCUGCGGCUUAACCGCAGAACUGCAUUUGAAACUGUUGAUCUAGAGUACUGGAGAGGCAGACGGAAUUCUUAGUGUAGCGGUGAAAUGCGUAGAUAUCAGGAGGAAUACCAGUGGCGAAGGCGGUCUGCUAGACAGCAACUGACGGUGAGGCGCGAAAGCGUGGGGAGCAAACAGGAUUAGAUACCCUUGUAGUC
Molecule: ribosomal RNA, 442 nt
Filed under: uncultured bacterium
Lineage: Bacteria
Description: partial 16S ribosomal RNA
Rfam family: Bacterial small subunit ribosomal RNA
Source: RNAcentral